CUAUAAAAGAUGUAACAGAUGCAAACUGUAAAACAAGGGCAAUUAACCCUUGCUCUUCUGAACAGAAUCUCUCCUGUCCUUCCCAUCUAUUGUCCUCUCCUGCACUGCAAGUUUUACACCAAAUGUCAAA
This is a non-coding RNA of Struthio camelus australis, 130 nucleotides long. The record is from Rfam. Lineage: Eukaryota; Metazoa; Chordata; Aves; Struthioniformes; Struthionidae.